This 933-nucleotide long non-coding RNA is filed under the name Gossypium raimondii (Peruvian cotton). RNAcentral describes it as "long non-coding RNA (GRAI_LNC005504)". Lineage: Eukaryota; Viridiplantae; Streptophyta; Magnoliopsida; Malvales; Malvaceae. The record is from RNAcentral.
GGGGGGGGGGGGGGUAUUUACCCGUUUUGACAUAUAGAACCCUUCUUCCCACUCAAUUUCUGAUACUGCCACUUCUAUUAAUCUAUAUUCCUCCUACCUACAACCUUGUCUCUGUGUGUUUUGUAUCUUUGAGUUUUAUAGUUUCCAAAUAUGAGUGAUCCCAAUUACGCUUAUCCUUACCCUGCUCAAGGUAGUGUACUCUUCUGCUUUUUCCCUUAGAUUUUACACUGUACAAAGUUGUAAACUUUUCACUUUCUACAUUACUGCUAAAGAAUUUUAUUUUAUUUUUAAAAGAAACCUGCUUCAUCUUUUUCACAUUUUAAGCUUUUAACAUUUUCUUUUUUUUUUCUUUCUUCUCCCUUGCUAUGUUUCAUGAUCAUGGGUUUUUCUUUUGGUUUCUUGUUUUUAAUUAAUGUGAAUAUUUUGGGGGUUUUAUUUGUUGAUUGAUGUAUGAAACUUUUAGGUUAUUAUCAACGUCCCCCAGUGAUGGCACCACCACAGUAUGCUGCUCCACCUCCAAGGAGAGAACCUGGUUUCCUUGAGGGCUGGUAUGUGUGUAUAUAUUUCUAUUGCUCAUAAUUCAAUACUUCAAUUUAAAAAGAAUAUGAAUUUAUGAUAUGUUUUAAUUUAAUUCAAUCUUUGGUUUUGAAUUUGUUUGCAGUCUUGCGGCUUUGUGUUGCUGCUGUCUAAUUGAUGAGUGCUGCUGUGAUCCUUCCAUCAUCUUUGUGAGCUGAUCAUCUCUCUAAUGCACCCCCAUGGAGAAAAUAUUUUAAUAAUUUAUAAAUAUCAGUGGUGUUUAUUUUAUUUUGUGGUUUGGGCUUCUGGUAUGUUCUUGAAGAUGUUGAUGUGUCUUUAUCCCUGUAAUUCUCUAUUUAGUCUUUGACAAUUUUUUCUUCAUUUAAAUAUGAGUGUUUUCUAAAAAUUCCUUUUUCA